UCCGGUGGCAAUGGCGGAGGGGAAACACCUGGAUCCAUUCCGAACCCAGAAGUUAAGCCCUCCAGCGCCGAUGGUACUUCCCUGGAGACGGGGCGGGAGAGUAGGUCGCCGCCGGGA
RNAcentral lists this ribosomal RNA (117 nucleotides) under Rubrobacter sp. Lineage: Bacteria; Bacillati; Actinomycetota; Rubrobacteria; Rubrobacterales; Rubrobacteraceae. The record is from RNAcentral. RNAcentral also lists the same sequence under 1 other name.